GUGAGAGAGAGAGAUAGUGAGUGUGAGAGAGAGAUAGUGAGAGAGAGAGAGAGAUAGUGAGUGUGAGAGAGAGAGAUAGUGAGUGUGUGAGAGAGAGAUAGUGAGUGUGAGAGAGAGAGAGAUAGUGAGUGUGAGAGAGAGAUAGUGAGAGAGAGAGAGAGUAGUGAGAGAGAGAGAGAUAGUGAGUGUGUGAGAGAGAUAGUGAGUGUGAGAGAGAGAGAUAGUGAGUGUGAGAGAGAGAUAUUGAGUGUGAGAGAGAGAGAUAGUGAGUGUGAG
Ictalurus punctatus (channel catfish) is the source of this 276-nucleotide long non-coding RNA. The record is from Ensembl. Lineage: Eukaryota; Metazoa; Chordata; Actinopteri; Siluriformes; Ictaluridae.